GGAUGACAGAGCAAGACUCUGUCUCAAAAACAACAACAACAACAGCAGCAGCAACCACAGCAACCAUCACAGCUCUCAGAAAAGCAUUUUAAGCUAAAGGUAACCUUCUGAUUUCAAUUGCCCAUUUGGAUCAACCAUCAGACCUAGUCAUGGAGAGGAGGCGAAAAAACGGAAUCUAGGAAAGAAUGAGCCAGGAUCAUGUGGACCAAGCUGAAGCCUGAAUCUUCCUCGCCAGAAAAACCCCAGCAACCAAUUACCCUGGACGUGACGCCGAGGCCCACCUAGUGGUCAGCCAUCUGCCUAGGCAGACAAUAAAGCUCAAUUUUUCUCCUUCUC
Molecule: non-coding RNA, 336 nt
Organism: Macaca mulatta (Rhesus monkey)
Lineage: Eukaryota; Metazoa; Chordata; Mammalia; Primates; Cercopithecidae
Source: RefSeq, a predicted model, not a curated record